Molecule: non-coding RNA, 74 nt
Organism: Sphaerobolus stellatus SS14
Lineage: Eukaryota; Fungi; Basidiomycota; Agaricomycetes; Geastrales; Sphaerobolaceae
Source: Rfam
GGUCUAUUAAUUCAGCUGGUUAGAGUGUGGUACUAAUAAUGCCAAGGCCACAAAUUUGACCCCUGUAUUGACCA